Molecule: ribosomal RNA, 804 nt
Filed under: Phialoturbella aseptata
Lineage: Eukaryota; Fungi; Ascomycota; Sordariomycetes; Chaetosphaeriales; Chaetosphaeriaceae
Description: SSU rRNA
Rfam family: Eukaryotic small subunit ribosomal RNA
Source: RNAcentral
AUUGUACUGCGAAACUGCGAAUGGCUCAUUAAAUCAGUUAUCGUUUAUUUGAUAGUGCCUUUCCUACUUGGAUAACCGUGGUAAUUCUAGAGCUAAUACAUGCUAAAAAUCCCGACUUCGGAAGGGAUGCAUUUAUUGGAUACAGAACCAAUGCCCUCCGGGGCUCACUGGUGAAUCACAAUAACUCCGCGGAUCGCACGGCCUUGCGCCGGCGAUGGUUCAUUCAAAUUUCUGCCCUAUCAACUUUCGACGGCUGGGUCUUGGCCAGCCGUGGUGACAACGGGUAACGGAGGGUUAGGGCUUGACCCCGGAGAAGGAGCCUGAGAGACGGCUACUACAUCCAAGGAAGGCAGCAGGCGCGCAAAUUACCCAAUCCCGAUUCGGGGAGGUAGUGACGAAAAAUACUGAUCCAGGGCUCUUUUGGGUCUUGGAAUUGGAAUGAGUACAAUUUAAAUCCCUUAACGAGGAACAAUUGGAGGGCAAGUCUGGUGCCAGCAGCCGCGGUAAUUCCAGCUCCAAUAGCGUAUAUUAAAGUUGUUGAGGUUAAAAAGCUCGUAGUUGAACCUUGGCCCUGGCUGGUCGGUCCGCCUCACCGCGAGCACUGGUCCGGCCGGGGCUUUCCCUCUGGGGAUCCUCAUGCCCUUCACUGGGUGUGCUGGGGAACCAGGACUUUUACUGUGAACAAAUCAGAUCGCUCAAAGAAGGCUCUCGCUCGAAUGCUUCAGCAUGGAAUAAUGAAAUAGGACGUGCGGUUCUAUUUUGUUGGUUUCUAGGACCGCCGUAAUGAUUAAUAGGGACAGUCGG